RNAcentral lists this ribosomal RNA (972 nucleotides) under Staphylococcus aureus M0820. Its description in RNAcentral is "bacterial SSU rRNA". It matches the Rfam family "Bacterial small subunit ribosomal RNA", at positions 8 to 961 of the family's 1533-position model. RNAcentral also lists the same sequence under 1 other name. The record is from RNAcentral. Lineage: Bacteria; Bacillati; Bacillota; Bacilli; Caryophanales; Staphylococcaceae.
AGAGUUUGAUCCUGGCUCAGGAUGAACGCUGGCGGCGUGCCUAAUACAUGCAAGUCGAGCGAACGGACGAGAAGCUUGCUUCUCUGAUGUUAGCGGCGGACGGGUGAGUAACACGUGGAUAACCUACCUAUAAGACUGGGAUAACUUCGGGAAACCGGAGCUAAUACCGGAUAAUAUUUUGAACCGCAUGGUUCAAAAGUGAAAGACGGUCUUGCUGUCACUUAUAGAUGGAUCCGCGCUGCAUUAGCUAGUUGGUAAGGUAACGGCUUACCAAGGCAACGAUGCAUAGCCGACCUGAGAGGGUGAUCGGCCACACUGGAACUGAGACACGGUCCAGACUCCUACGGGAGGCAGCAGUAGGGAAUCUUCCGCAAUGGGCGAAAGCCUGACGGAGCAACGCCGCGUGAGUGAUGAAGGUCUUCGGAUCGUAAAACUCUGUUAUUAGGGAAGAACAUAUGUGUAAGUAACUGUGCACAUCUUGACGGUACCUAAUCAGAAAGCCACGGCUAACUACGUGCCAGCAGCCGCGGUAAUACGUAGGUGGCAAGCGUUAUCCGGAAUUAUUGGGCGUAAAGCGCGCGUAGGCGGUUUUUUAAGUCUGAUGUGAAAGCCCACGGCUCAACCGUGGAGGGUCAUUGGAAACUGGAAAACUUGAGUGCAGAAGAGGAAAGUGGAAUUCCAUGUGUAGCGGUGAAAUGCGCAGAGAUAUGGAGGAACACCAGUGGCGAAGGCGACUUUCUGGUCUGUAACUGACGCUGAUGUGCGAAAGCGUGGGGAUCAAACAGGAUUAGAUACCCUGGUAGUCCACGCCGUAAACGAUGAGUGCUAAGUGUUAGGGGGUUUCCGCCCCUUAGUGCUGCAGCUAACGCAUUAAGCACUCCGCCUGGGGAGUACGACCGCAAGGUUGAAACUCAAAGGAAUUGACGGGGACCCGCACAAGCGGUGGAGCAUGUGGUUUAAUUCGAAGCAACG